CAAAAACAGAUCAAGAUACAAUUUUAUGUUUUCAGGAGCGAAAUAUUUUAUCAAAAACAGGAAAUGUGAACUUAAACAAGAACCAACCUGGCCGCCGUCACAUCUACUGUAAGAGUUCGCAUUGGGCUAAAUUAUCUUGGUGAAAUCAGGCAGUUUUAUUUAUCCUUCAUGUAUCAAGUAGUGGAGUUUGACACUGAUAGUGGAGGAGGGGUUGGAAUUAUCCACUCUAAAUGGCUAACACCAAGAAAGAAAGAGUGUUUUUGGCCACCUUUUAAACAUUCUCAAGAGUACAAUAAAUGUCUCAGUGACGGACAGCGUCCUUGUGAAAAAUGGAGAAUUUGUGCUUUGAAGAGAAAAUUCUACAUUACUGAUGACAUAUUAAAGGCCAGAGAAAAAUUGAAAGAUGCAGAAUUUGAAUCUGACAUUGCAACUGAAUAUG
Molecule: long non-coding RNA, 439 nt
Organism: Bacillus rossius redtenbacheri
Lineage: Eukaryota; Metazoa; Arthropoda; Insecta; Phasmatodea; Bacillidae
Exons: 3
Source: RefSeq, a predicted model, not a curated record